RNAcentral lists this ribosomal RNA (406 nucleotides) under uncultured bacterium. RNAcentral's name for it is "partial 16S ribosomal RNA". It matches the Rfam family "Bacterial small subunit ribosomal RNA", at positions 30 to 526 of the family's 1533-position model. The record is from RNAcentral.
AUUGAACGCUGGCGGCAGGCUUAACACAUGCAAGUCGAACGAGUGGCGGACGGGUGAGUAAUGCUUGGGAAUCUAGCUUAUGGAGGGGGAUAACUACGGGAAACUGUAGCUAAUACCGCGUACCAUAGGAUGAGCCCAAGUGGGAUUAGGUAGUUGGUGAGGUAAAGGCUCACCAAGCCGACGAUCUCUAGCUGGUCUGAGAGGAUGACCAGCCACACUGGGACUGAGACACGGCCCAGACUCCUACGGGAGGCAGCAGUGGGGAAUAUUGCACAAUGGGCGCAAGCCUGAUGCAGCCAUGCCGCGUGUAUGAAGAAGGCCUUAGGGUUGUAAAGUACUUUCAGCGGGGAGGCGUUACCCGCAGAAGAAGCACCGGCUAACUCCGUGCCAGCAGCCGCGGUAAUAC